UACGUAGGGUGCAAGCGUUGUCCGGAAUUAUUGGGCGUAAAGAGCUCGUAGGCGGUCUGUUGCGUCCGCUGUGAAAACUCGGGGCUUAACCCCGAGCCUGCAGUGGAUACGGGCAGACUAGAGGUAGGUAGGGGAGAAUGGAAUUCCCGGUGUAGCGGUGAAAUGCGCAGAUAUCGGGAGGAACACCGGUGGCGAAGGCGGUUCUCUGGGCAUGAUCUGACGCUGAGGAGCGAAAGUGUGGGGAGCGAACAGG
This 253-nucleotide ribosomal RNA is filed under the name uncultured bacterium. Its description in RNAcentral is "partial 16S ribosomal RNA". It matches the Rfam family "Bacterial small subunit ribosomal RNA", at positions 524 to 776 of the family's 1533-position model. The record is from RNAcentral.